UGGACCCAGGUGGGGGAGAGGAGCAUAUAUGGUGCAGAUUAUGUUCAGGAAACCACGGAGAGGAUCCGGGUUCUUAAGCUGAACAUGAAGGAAGCUCAGGAUCGACAGUGGAGUUAUGCUGACAAGAGGAGGAGAGAACUUGAGUUUGAGGUUGGGGACAGAGUGUAUCUUAAGAUGGCCAUGUUGCGAGGUCCGAACAGGUCUAUCUCAGAGACUAAGUUGAGUCCGAGGUACAUGGGUCCGUUCAGGAUUGUUGAGAGGGUGGGACCAGUGGCAUACAGGUUAGAGUUGCCUGAUGUUAUGCGUGCGUUUCACAAGGUCUUUCAUGUGUCGAUGAGGAAGUGUCUAAACAAGGAUGAUGAGGUGUUGGCUAAGAUUCCAGAGGAUCUUCAGCCCAACCUGACUUUGGAGGCGAGACCAGUGAGGGUUCUCGAGAGGAGGAUCAAGGAACUUCGGCGGAAGAAGAUUCCUUUGAUCAAAGUCCUGUGGGACUGCGAUGGUGUGACAGAGGAGACUUGGGAGCCAGAGGCGAGGAUGAAGGCAAGGUUCAAGAAGUGGUUCGAGAAGCAGGUUGCUGCAUGAGUUUGUCUUUCCUUGGUUUCCAGUUUCACUGUUGUUGAGUUUUUGAGCUUUUGAGUUGUUGUUCUUAUUUCUCUUUCAUUUGUAUUUUCGUUUGGAGUUGUAACGAUCAUGACAGUUGAUGAUUAAUAAGAUGAGUAUUUUUUCUUGGAUUUGACUUCAGUUGUCUUAUUUAAGAUUGUGUUGUGCGGUUUCCAAAAAUGGAAAGUUUCCUAGAAAGGACUUGUCUAUUUUUGGAAAGUUUGAGUAAACAACCUAAGAGAAAGGUGUGUUUACGAGAUGGCCGGGAGUUGGUCAUAAGGAUGUUUUCGAGGGGAUAUGAUGGAUGGUGAGGCAUAGAGGUGUCUUACGCGAAUCCAUAAGAGAGUCUGGAGAUAUGCUCGGAAGCGUUUAGUAUUGUUGCUCGAGGGACAUGAGGGUCCCAACGACUCGUGAGGAGCGGGGUAUGCUCCUGAGGUACCGGUAACUCGAGGGACAUGGUGUCUUUAGAGUACGAGGGGUACGGUGGCUUCAGGUGACGAUCCGAGAGCACGCUUUAGGGUGACGACUCGAGAGCGAGUUUUGUGGUAUUAUUUUCUACAAGUGUCGUAACUCGAUGACUUUGUGGCUGAGAGUGAGCCGACACAACUCAGGGUUUGACUUUGAGUGGGGAAGAUAAUAUGUGUGAUACCCGAGAUACCGUAGGCCGAGGCCUGAGAGUGAUGGUUUAUGCUCGAAGAUUGCGGUCUGAGAGUGGAGAGUGAGUUGUGAGCAACAAUGACUAGUAAAUCGUGAGUAUAUCGACUGGAUAGAAAGACCUAGAGGGGGUCUGGUUGGAGGGAGUGCGGACUGUAGUGAUGGUUACACGGAGUUCCUCGGAGUGGAAGGGUGAAGCUAGAUUCGAGGACGAAUCUAUGUUAGUGAGGGAGAAUUGUAACGCCCGUGAACCGGAAAAUCGGUUAGGGUUUGUUUUUAAAUCAUCCGAUUUAAUUGGUUGGGUUAAUUGGAAACCCUAGAGUGUGCCUAUAAAAGAAGGAAACUCGAAAUUAGGGCUUUAGUUAGCCACUUUUCGUUUUAUAAAGGAGAAAAAGAGAAAAAAGGAGAAUGAGCAGAAUCGUUAGGGUUUGGGAGAAAUCAGUUUCGUCAUAUCAAAUCGUGGUAAAAGGUAACGAAAUUUGUUAGAGUUAUUCCCAAGUCCUUUAUCGUUAUUCUCCAGUUUACAUAAUUGGAUUUGGAUUAAAAUUGGUUGAGUUAUUCGCAGUUUCGGGGGACACGUUUUCUCAGACGCGAAUUAGGACCAGCGGAGAUUGAAACUGAGAUCGUGGUCUCUUCUGUUUUCCGAUCGGCACGAGAUUUUGUGGGCAGCUUUUUGACGUCUGCAGCUAAGAUUUCACCGGAGCGAUUGAAUAGUUAACGGUUAGCUUGUAUUUUAGGGUUUCAUCUUUGAGACUGCUUGUUUCUGGUGUUUUCCUGUCCAUUUUGCUUCAAGGUUGCUUUUGGUUGUGGACUUGUUGUAGGACGUUUCUGGACUGUUUCAGACGCAAGGAGAGUCUCUCCUGGGUUUAAUUGCUAUUAGAAUCAAUUUGUUAAGGUGAGUGCGUGACCAUGAGCUUAUCUGAGCGAUUGGGUUGUGUGAUUUGUUUUGUGUGAUGAUAUGUAGGUGUGGUGAAUGUGUUUUGGGUGAAUUGUUCAAUGACUGGUUUGUUUGUAUUGUAUUCGUGAUUAUACCUUUGUAUUUGCUUGUGUGUAUAGCUCGUAGAUGGGAGGAUCGCCUCACUAAGUAUUUAUGAUAAUACUUACGCAUCUCAUUAUGUUGUUGAUGUAGGUAAAGAUAAAGUGUGAUCGUGGAAUCAUGGCAAGGAAGAGAGGAUGAUCUAAGAACUCGUUUGUUUUAUUUUUGGUGUUUUUGGUUAUUGGAACCCGGUUAGGAUUGUCAGUUAUUCUUGGUUUUGUUGGUCGAAUUAUUUAUUUAUUCAUAAAAUAGUAUUUUUGACUUGCGGUUUAAUUAUUAUGUUAUUGGUUGGUUUAAUUAGAUAUUUAUGGGAAUAUUUAAUUAUAUU
This 2618-nucleotide small RNA is filed under the name Arabidopsis thaliana (thale cress). RNAcentral describes it as "ATSL031650". Lineage: Eukaryota; Viridiplantae; Streptophyta; Magnoliopsida; Brassicales; Brassicaceae. The record is from RNAcentral.